CCUACGGGAGGCAGCAGUAGGGAAUCUUCCACAAUGGGCGAAAGCCUGAUGGAGCAACGCCGCGUGGGUGAAGAAGGUCUUCGGAUCGUAAAACCCUGUUGUUAGAGAAGAAAGUGCGUGAGAGUAACUGUUCACGUUUCGACGGUAUCUAACCAGAAAGCCACGGCUAACUACGUGACAGCAGCCGCGGUAAUACGUAGGUGGCAAGCGUUAACCGGAUUUAUUGGGCGUAAAGGGAACGCAGGCGGUCUUUUAAGUCUGAUGUGAAAGCCUUCGGCUUAACGGGAGUAGUGCAUUUGAAACGGGGAGACUUGAGUGCAGAAGAGGAGAGUGGAACUCCAUGUGUAGCGGUGAAAUGCGUAGAUAUAUGGAAGAACACCAGUGGCGAAAGCGGCUCUCUGGUCUGUAACUGACGCUGAGGUUCGAAAGCGUGGGUAGCAAACAGGAUUAGAUACCCCUGUAGUC
This 465-nucleotide ribosomal RNA is filed under the name uncultured bacterium. RNAcentral describes it as "partial 16S ribosomal RNA". It matches the Rfam family "Bacterial small subunit ribosomal RNA", at positions 338 to 795 of the family's 1533-position model. The record is from RNAcentral.